GACGAACGCUGGCGGCGUGCUUAACACAUGCAAGUCGAACGGAAAGGCCCUGCUUUUGUGGGGUGCUCGAGUGGCGAACGGGUGAGUAACACGUGAGUAACCUGCCCUUGACUUUGGGAUAACUUCAGGAAACUGGGGCUAAUACCGGAUAGGAGCUCCUGCUGCAUGGUGGGGGUUGGAAAGUUUCGGCGGUUGGGGAUGGACUCGCGGCUUAUCAGCUUGUUGGUGGGGUAGUGGCUUACCAAGGCUUUGACGGGUAGCCGGCCUGAGAGGGUGACCGGCCACAUUGGGACUGAGAUACGGCCCAGACUCCUACGGGAGGCAGCAGUGGAGAAUAUUGCACAAUGGGCGGAAGCCUGAUGCAGCAACGCCGCGUGCGGGAUGACGGCCUUCGGGUUGUAAACCGCUUUCGCCUGUGAGGAAGCGUGAGUGACGGUAAUGGGUAAAGAAGCACCGGCUAACUACGUG
Molecule: ribosomal RNA, 468 nt
Filed under: uncultured bacterium
Lineage: Bacteria
Description: partial 16S ribosomal RNA
Rfam family: Bacterial small subunit ribosomal RNA
Source: RNAcentral